RNAcentral lists this ribosomal RNA (500 nucleotides) under uncultured Planctomycetota bacterium. RNAcentral describes it as "bacterial SSU rRNA". It matches the Rfam family "Bacterial small subunit ribosomal RNA", at positions 117 to 643 of the family's 1533-position model. Lineage: Bacteria; Pseudomonadati; Planctomycetota. The record is from RNAcentral.
GUGGGUACCUACCCCGGGGUCCGGGAUAGCCGUCCGAGAGGGCGGGUAAUACCGGAUGACCUCGGGAGAGCAAAGCUCCGGCGCCCCGGGAGGGGCCCACGUGAUAUUAGCUGGUUGGUGAGGUGACGGCUCACCAAGGCGGAGAUGUCUAGCGGGUGUGAGAGCACGACCCGCGCCACUCGCACUGAGACACUGGCGAGACACCUACGGGUGGCUGCAGUCGAGGAUCUUCGGCAAUGCGCGCAAGCGCGACCGAGCGACGCCGCGUGGGCGAUGAAGGCCUUCGGGUUGUAAAGCCCUGUCGAGGGGGAGAAAAGCCGAAAGGUGUGAUCUAUCCCUGGAGGAAGCUCGGGCUAAGUUCGUGCCAGCAGCCGCGGUAAGACGAACCGAGCGAACGUUGUUCGGAAUCACUGGGCUUAAAGGGUGCGUAGGCGGGCUGCCAAGUUUGAGGUGAAAUCCUCCGGCUCAACCGGGGAAGUGCCUUGAAUACUGGCGGUCUG